GCCCAGUGAUGAGACCAAGGCGAAUACGAGCUAACUGAAUGAGAGUUGGGUUCUUCUUGCCUCAACUGGCAGGUAAUCUUGGCAGUGCAGGGGAGUUUUCCUGCUCUGCUGUAAGGGUCUGCCUACAGUAACUUAGCCCAACCCUAAUUCUUCCUCUGGAGUCAGAGUGGAGUGAUGCUGGGAUAAAGCUGACAGUGUGUUUGGUGUGUGUGUGUGUUUGUUGUGAAUGUAAGAGGCAAGAAGUACACCCAGCUCUCUUUGCUUUCAGUAAGCGAUGAGUUCCUUCUUUGGUAAUCUGAGGGCA
Molecule: small nucleolar RNA, 304 nt
Organism: Labrus mixtus (cuckoo wrasse)
Lineage: Eukaryota; Metazoa; Chordata; Actinopteri; Labriformes; Labridae
Source: RefSeq, a predicted model, not a curated record